Molecule: ribosomal RNA, 407 nt
Filed under: uncultured bacterium
Lineage: Bacteria
Description: bacterial SSU rRNA
Rfam family: Bacterial small subunit ribosomal RNA
Source: RNAcentral
UGGGGAAUAUUGGGCAAUGGAGGCAACUCUGACCCAGCAACGCCGCGUGAAUGAUGAAGGUCUUCGGAUUGUAAAGUUCUUUUCUAAGGGAAGAAGAAAGUGACGGUACCUUAGGAAUAAGCCUCGGCUAACUACGUGCCAGCAGCCGCGGUAAUACGUAGGAGGCGAGCGUUAUCCGGAAUGACUGGGCGUAAAGGGUGCGUAGGUGGUUUGGCAAGUUGGUAGCGUAACUCCAAGGCUCAACCUUGGAACUACUACCAAAACUGUUGGACUUGAGUGCAGGAGGGGCAACCGGAAUUCCUAGUGUAGCGGUGGAAUGCGUAGAUAUUAGGAGGAACACCAGUGGCGAAGGCGGGUUGCUAGACUGUAACUGACACUGAGGCACGAAAGCGUGGGGAGCAAACAGG